RNAcentral lists this ribosomal RNA (107 nucleotides) under Notechis scutatus (mainland tiger snake). Lineage: Eukaryota; Metazoa; Chordata; Lepidosauria; Squamata; Elapidae. The record is from RNAcentral.
ACUUGUAAGCAGAUGGAAACACCUGGCCAACCAGGGCUCAGUAGCUAAGCAGGAUCGAUUCUGGUUAGUACUUGGAUGGGAUACAGAUAGUCCUCGACUUACAACAA